GAUGAACGCUGGCGGCGUGCUUAACACAUGCAAGUCGAACGGAAAGGCUCCUGCUUGCAGGGGUACUCGAGUGGCGAACGGGUGAGUAACACGUGGGUGAUCUGCUCUGCACUUCGGGAUAAGCCUGGGAAACUGGGUCUAAUACCGGAUAGGACGAUGGUUUGGAUGCCAUUGUGGAAAGUUUUUCGGUGUGGGAUGAGCUCGCGGCCUAUCAGCUUGUUGGUGGGGUAAUGGCCUACCAAGGCGUCGACGGGUAGCCGGCCUGAGAGGGUGUACGGCCACAUUGGGACUGAGAUACGGCCCAGACUCCUACGGGAGGCAGCAGUGGGGAAUAUUGCACAAUGGGCGCAAGCCUGAUGCAGCGACGCCGCGUGGGGGAUGACGGCCUUCGGGCUGUAAACUCCUUUCGCUAGGGACGAAGCGCAAGUGACGGUACCUGGAGAAGAAGCACCGGCUAACUACGU
RNAcentral lists this ribosomal RNA (464 nucleotides) under uncultured bacterium. RNAcentral describes it as "partial 16S ribosomal RNA". It matches the Rfam family "Bacterial small subunit ribosomal RNA", at positions 28 to 506 of the family's 1533-position model. The record is from RNAcentral.